This 768-nucleotide ribosomal RNA is filed under the name Triticum aestivum (bread wheat). RNAcentral's name for it is "partial small subunit ribosomal RNA". The record is from RNAcentral. Lineage: Eukaryota; Viridiplantae; Streptophyta; Magnoliopsida; Poales; Poaceae.
AUGAUGGUGGCUGGGAUGCGCUUCCUGCAGCUGUUCGCGGUGGUUCUCGCCUUCUCCUUCGUGCCCGCCAAGUCCGGCUACUGGCUGCCGGCCCAUGCCACGUUCUACGGCGGCGCCGACGGCUCUGACACAAUGGGUGGCGCAUGUGGGUACGAGAACCUGUACAACGCGGGGUACGGGAUCAACAACGCGGCGCUGAGCACGGCGCUGUUCAACAACGGCUUGUCGUGCGGGCAGUGCUACCUCAUCACCUGCGACACCAGCAAGUCAAACAUGUGCAAGCCCGGCACGUCCAUCACCGUCUCCGCCACCAACUUCUGUCCCCCCAACUGGGCUCUCCCCAGCGACAACGGUGGCUGGUGCAACCCUCCCCGCGUCCACUUCGACAUGUCCCAGCCCGCCUGGGAAAACCUCGCCAUCUACCGCGCCGGCAUCGUCCCCGUCCUCUACCAGCAGGUCGCGUGCCAGAGGCAGGGCGGCCUGCGCUUCACUAUCAACGGCUUCAACUACUUUGAGCUCGUGCUGGUGACCAACAUGGCCGGGAGUGGGUCAGUCAAGAGCAUGUCGGUGAAGGGGACCAACACCGCAUGGAUUCCGAUGUCCCAGAACUGGGGCGCUAACUGGCAGUGCCUAGCGGGGCUGAAAGGACAAGCGCUCAGCUUCGCGAUCACCUCCUCCGGUGGACAGUACAAGGUCUUCCAGGACGUCGUGCCGGCAUGGUGGUUGUUCGGACAGACGUUCUCCACCUGGCAACAGUUCGACUACUAG